Molecule: long non-coding RNA, 224 nt
Organism: Alligator mississippiensis (American alligator)
Lineage: Eukaryota; Metazoa; Chordata; Crocodylia; Alligatoridae
Exons: 3
Source: RefSeq, a predicted model, not a curated record
CAGACAGGCUCCCCGCCAUUAAGGGCGCUGCGGAUUUACCUCCCCUGGGGGCAGGCCAGGAGCGGAGGGAGCCUGCACCCGGACCAGGAGCAGUGCCGGGGGGAAGUGGAGGGGUGGGGGAGACCCUCCCAGCUGUGCGGGGCAGCUCUGCCAGGGCCGAGAUGUGGCCGGACCCUCCCGCUGCCGCGGAGAAACCCCGUGGCAGGCAGCGCCGUCAGCAGGUG